UUAAGAUGUGCUGUAAGGAUAAAAUGCACACCAGAUUUCAAUGACUUGCACUGUCUGGACUCUAGAAGAUGCUCUGAUUCAAGAGGAUGUAAAGAAAUUCUCUAAGCCGAUAAGAAAAAUAGAAGAAACCCAAAUGGGCAAUGAGUGCAUGGGAACUCACUCACCUCAGUGGAAAGGAGGGAAUGGCAAGCCAGCCCACUGAAGCCCACUGGGGACAUAGGACAAGUCUGCAAAGCAGAGACAGCCCCUCCAGGAAGAGCGACCAGGCCUUGAGAGGACAUGGCCUUAGGACCAGAUCCAGGGAAGACACAGUCACUAACCCCUGGCUCAUCUGGCAGGUGUGGGAAGCAGCCAGGCCCGUGGCUUCACCAGCUCCCCCCGAUCUCUGCCUUCAGCUGUCCUGCAGCCUGGGUCAGGCACCUAGGCAGCUUUAUGGCAGGCGGAGAUGCACCACCCACAUCCUCUUUCCAGGCAGGGCUUGCUGCCCUGGCUGUAGCGAGUGCGGCAGCAGGUGGCCUCCAGCUAUCAGCAACUUCAGAGAGCUGCCUUGCCUGAGGUCCCGUCCCUUCUGGGGAAGCUCCCAUCUGCCAGGGGGCUACAAAAGCACAGUGGACACCAUGAUGGGCAAUUCUGGCUGAUGGGAGCACCACCUGGUGGCUGAGGCAUUCUUGGGCCACAUAGCAGUUGACUGCCCUCUCCACCAUCUUUUCACAAGUGUUAAUCCCAAUAAACACCCAUCCUCUUCCAUCCCAA
This 753-nucleotide long non-coding RNA is filed under the name Homo sapiens (human). RNAcentral's name for it is "non-protein coding LINC00851:6". The record is from RNAcentral. Lineage: Eukaryota; Metazoa; Chordata; Mammalia; Primates; Hominidae.